This 366-nucleotide ribosomal RNA is filed under the name Staphylococcus aureus. RNAcentral describes it as "bacterial SSU rRNA". It matches the Rfam family "Bacterial small subunit ribosomal RNA", at positions 53 to 408 of the family's 1533-position model. The record is from RNAcentral. Lineage: Bacteria; Bacillati; Bacillota; Bacilli; Caryophanales; Staphylococcaceae.
ACAUGCAAGUCGAGCGAACGGACGAGAAGCUUGCUUCUCUGAUGUUAGCGGCGGACGGGUGAGUAACACGUGGAUAACCUACCUAUAAGACUGGGAUAACUUCGGGAAACCGGAGCUAAUACCGGAUAAUAUUUUGAACCGCAUGGUUCAAAAGUGAAAGACGGUCUUGCUGUCACUUAUAGAUGGAUCCGCGCUGCAUUAGCUAGUUGGUAAGGUAACGGCUUACCAAGGCAACGAUGCAUAGCCGACCUGAGAGGGUGAUCGGCCACACUGGAACUGAGACACGGUCCAGACUCCUACGGGAGGCAGCAGUAGGGAAUCUUCCGCAAUGGGCGAAAGCCUGACGGAGCAACGCCGCGUGAGUGA